GACGAACGCUGGCGGCGUGCUUAACACAUGCAAGUCGAACGGAAAGGCCCUGCUUUUGUGGGGUGCUCGAGUGGCGAACGGGUGAGUAACACGUGAGUAACCUGCCCUUGACUUUGGGAUAACUUCAGGAAACUGGGGCUAAUACCGGAUAGGAGCUCCUGCUGCAUGGUGGGGGUUGGAAAGUUUCGGCGGUUGGGGAUGGACUCGCGGCUUAUCAGCUUGUUGGUGGGGUAGUGGCUUACCAAGGCUUUGACGGGUAGCCGGCCUGAGAGGGUGACCGGCCAUAUUGGGACUGAGAUACGGCCCAGACUCCUACGGGAGGCAGCAGUGGGGAAUAUUGCACAAUGGGCAGAAGCCUGAUGCAGCAACGCCGCGUGCGGGAUGACGGCCUUCGGGUUGUAAACCGCUUUCGCCUGCGACGAAGCGUGAGUGACGGUAAUGGGUAAAGAAGCACCGGCUAACUACGUG
This 468-nucleotide ribosomal RNA is filed under the name uncultured bacterium. RNAcentral describes it as "partial 16S ribosomal RNA". It matches the Rfam family "Bacterial small subunit ribosomal RNA", at positions 28 to 507 of the family's 1533-position model. The record is from RNAcentral.